Pristis pectinata (smalltooth sawfish) is the source of this 1115-nucleotide long non-coding RNA. RefSeq lists it as uncharacterized. Lineage: Eukaryota; Metazoa; Chordata; Chondrichthyes; Rhinopristiformes; Pristidae. The transcript has 3 exons. The record is from RefSeq and is a predicted model, not a curated record.
CCGCAUUCUGAAGGAACUGGCUCAGUGUUCCAACUCCAGUAGAACCCUUGAAGUAAUGAACUCAUUUCCUUGUGCAACUACAGGAGAACCAACACCACCAUUUUUACCUUCCCCAUUGUCCAGGGAACUCACACUCUCCUUCCAGGCAAACUGCGAUUUCCUGUCACUUCAUGCCUGUUAUAUAGCUAAACCCCGCCUUAAUCCUGACACAGAGGAAGAAACUACAGCUAAUCUGCUUGGAACAGAGAAACAUCAAUGUUGAUUAGCGUGAUGGAAGCUGGCAAGAACAGAGUACCAGAGCAAGGAGAAGAUCAGACUCACAGACCCACAUCACCGAUUCCCUGCCAUUUAUUAUAUCCAGUACCCAGUCCAGCAGGAGGUCACACUAAUUAAAUUGCAGUGAUCUGUGAAGAGGAGAAAGAAAGGAGUAAGCAUCAGCUGUGAAAGAACAAGUUUGGAACUCUCAUUAGCUCCACGCUAUAGGAACUGACCCACAUUUUGGUUUAAUUUCUGGCCUCUUGAAUUUUCAAAAUUUUCACUAAUUGAUCCCAUUUCCCUGUUCUUUUUUAAUUUUUGCUUCUUCAUUGCCUUCGCCCUUAUUUCUCUUUGAAGGAGGUUAAUUUCAGAUUACAGCGUGAAGAAAUCCACUACCAUUCAUUAUCAGCCUGUUGUACACUUCCCUCCCCAUUUACACCAUUGGCUCCAUUGCCUUAAGCUUCCUCUAAAAUUGUUACAUCAAAUUACACACCAUGAACAGGCAGCGAUCCUUCACAAGGCCCAAAUAUCCAUGCUGGUCUUUUACUCCACGCUAGCUUCUUCAUUUCGUCCCCUCAACCUGACCUUCUUUCAUGUCUCCUUCUUGUGUUUAUCCAGCUUCCUUUUAAAUGUAUCUAUGCACCAUAUUUGAACUAUUCCUCUCAGUAGUAAGAUCUAUGUUCUAACUAACACCUGGGUGAAGAGGUUUCUCCUAAAUUCCCUCUGGGUUCAUUCAUGUUUGUGUUAUAUUUAAGAACUUCAUUUGUGGUCUACUCAACAACCGCAAAUAUCUAGAGAAACAUAGGACUGCAGAUGCUGAAAUCUAGAUGGAAAAUACAAUGAUGCUGGAGGAACUCAGC